CACAAUUCUAAUCGCGAAGCACCAGUA
This 27-nucleotide small RNA is filed under the name Bombyx mori (domestic silkworm). Its description in RNAcentral is "ovarian small RNA-12894". Lineage: Eukaryota; Metazoa; Arthropoda; Insecta; Lepidoptera; Bombycidae. The record is from RNAcentral.